GGAGCAUCUAGUGAGCUGAGCUGAGCCGCCUCAUGACCAGCGCCUCUGACAGGGAGCAUGGCCUGUCAUUCCAAGAACUAGAACUCGAUUUCUGCUUCAUUAUUUGUUUGUAGUUCGGAUCAAAAGCGCACUCAAGCUUGGUGCUCCAGAACAAGCUAUGCCUGUAUCCUCAAUGCAGGCUACGUGGCCAAGCCGUCCAUGCGAAGACAGUGACUGCACUACCUCGUGUUGGAGCUUCCACACCUCAGCGUGUCUACUUUCUCUUCAAGGUCCUGUGCAGCGGGACAAAGGCCGGGCACCCUUGGUUAUCAGGGGAGAGUGACCUCACGGGGCGUUCGAAGCUCCCUUUCUAACCUUGGGGCCCUGGGCGCCGACUGUCCUCUCCUGCUGGAGGCCACGCGCGGGGCCGUGUGGAGAAGGACCAGCGGGAAGAGCAGAAGAAGGUGAUGUCUCCCCCAGCAGGAGGUGGAAAUAGGAUGGAACUGGUAUGGGAAACGAACAGACGGGGGCCCGUCCCCACCUGCACCUUCUGUGACUUCAGCAAGACUUUCUUUUUCCCUCCCUUGAAGCCUCCUUCUUUUCUAAGCGGGGGAGGGGGCCGUCAAGGGAAGACGUAGAACACUGGACAGGUAGAGACCUCUGCGUGGGUGCUGGCUCUGCCAUUGCCGGCAGUGACCUGAACAAGUCACAUA
Suricata suricatta (meerkat) is the source of this 692-nucleotide long non-coding RNA. RefSeq lists it as uncharacterized. The transcript has 4 exons. NCBI's taxonomy places the organism in Eukaryota, Metazoa, Chordata, Mammalia, Carnivora, Herpestidae. The record is from RefSeq and is a predicted model, not a curated record.